AUCAUAUUGCUUGAAAUGACUUACACGAGAGAUCUCCCGCGUUUAAUAUACUAAGUGAAUAAAGUCCGAGAGAUCCGAGUAAAUACUAUGUGGAUGACUACCGAGUGUUACCGAAAAGAUAAACAAAUAUGGCUGCCGUAGAAGACGAACCGCUAUGUCGGAGACAAACUUUCUACUCUAAUGGACUAUAAAAGUUCAGACAGUAUGAUUAAAUGGAAUACACAUGACAGUUCUGAAGAAAUUGAAGUAAACUUUACCAUGAUACCAGGUGCAUUUUUUAAACAUGUAAACAGAAUCAGAACUUUUCAUCGCAUAAAUGUGAUAUUGUCCACACAAGCGUCGCUCACGGAAUCCAUGUAGAAUCCUCUUCAUCAUCA
This is a long non-coding RNA of Mizuhopecten yessoensis (Yesso scallop), 377 nucleotides long. RefSeq lists it as uncharacterized. NCBI's taxonomy places the organism in Eukaryota, Metazoa, Mollusca, Bivalvia, Pectinida, Pectinidae. The record is from RefSeq and is a predicted model, not a curated record. The transcript has 3 exons.